UCGCGCCCUUUGCUACCUUUGGGGGAACCCGACGAGACGCGCCGUACCGGGUCACAAGGCAAAGACGACGCACA
Molecule: non-coding RNA, 74 nt
Filed under: Streptomyces rubrolavendulae
Lineage: Bacteria; Bacillati; Actinomycetota; Actinomycetes; Kitasatosporales; Streptomycetaceae
Source: RNAcentral